GAUGAACGCUGGCGGCGUGCUUAACACAUGCAAGUCGAACGAUGAAGCCCAGCUUGCUGGGUGGUUUAGUGGCGAACGGGUGAGUAACACGUGAGUAAACUGCCCUUAACUCUGGGAUAAGCCUGGGAAACUGGGUCUAAUACCGGAUAGCGGAGUCCACCUCAGGGUGGGAGUUGGGAAGAUUUAUCGGUUUUGGAUGGACGCGCGGCGUAUCAGCUUGUUCGUGGGGUAGUGGCUCAGCAAGGCGACGACGGGUAGCCGGCCUGAGAAGGUGACCAGCCACACUGGUACUGAGAGACGGCCCAGACUCCUACGGGAGGCAGCAGUGGGGAAUAUUGCACAGUGGGCGCAAGCCUGAUGCAGCGACGCCGCGUGUGGGAUGACGGCCUUCGGGUUGUAAACCUCUUUCAGUAGAGAAGAAGCGAAAGUGACGGUACCUGCAGAAGAAGCACCGGCUAACUACGUG
RNAcentral lists this ribosomal RNA (466 nucleotides) under uncultured bacterium. Its description in RNAcentral is "partial 16S ribosomal RNA". It matches the Rfam family "Bacterial small subunit ribosomal RNA", at positions 28 to 507 of the family's 1533-position model. The record is from RNAcentral.